UGAGGCGGCACCGCGGCCCGGCCUCACCGAGCCGACCGGGCCCCUCGGCCGCGGCAGGGGCGGUAGCGCUGCCGUGUCUGACAGCCCAGGUCAUGGACUUAUGUGAAACAUUGUCCAGUUAAGGCAGUCUUGACUCAUUGUUUCCAGCUGCUACUCAACCUGAGUUACUCACAUCUGUGGCUUGCUCUUCUCAGAGCACUACACAGGGCACUGCUGGACUCACAGGACUGCAGUGAUGAGUUUAAGGCAGGAGUCUCUACCAAUAAAUAAAGCAUUUAACCAAAUUGCCAGUGGGCUCUGAAAGGACACCACUGUUGUUACUGGGUGGGGAAAUGACCACAUGUAAAUGAUCUCUAUGUGCAAAACCUCAACCCUUCACAGAUACUUCUAGUUAUUUUUGCUUGGACAUCACAGAGGUUUUGCAUUGAUCAAAGGUUUU
Molecule: long non-coding RNA, 439 nt
Filed under: Catharus ustulatus (Swainson's thrush)
Lineage: Eukaryota; Metazoa; Chordata; Aves; Passeriformes; Turdidae
Description: lncRNA (ENSCUSG00005007475.1)
Source: RNAcentral